CCCUUUUCUUUUUUUUGAAAUUAUUUUUCCCAAAAGCUUAAAUGAGGCUUUUUGAAGCUUUUACAAAUCUUUUUAGGGGUUGGAGUAAAAAGAAGAAUUGCUUCCCACAAAAAUCCCUACAAUUUUGUUUUUAUAAGUAAAGCCAAAUUCCAAAUAGAAUUUGAAUCACAAAUUAAAACUAGUUCUAGGUUUUUAAAUAAACCUAUUUUGGAAAUGUUUGUAUAAAAUCAAUUUCUCAAUUUCUAUAGCUUCAAAAAUAUCACAAAAUUACUCUUAAAUCUUCUAACACUUAUUUCAACCUAAUUUGGGCAAUUCAAGAAUUUAGAACCAAGCAUAAUAUUUUUACCAUAUUUAAUUCACAUAAAAUAAAACACAUGAAAUCACACUUGAAUGGAUGACAUGCUCAUGCAAUGUUAUGCUUGAUGACAAUGCUUAUGGAUGAGUUUAUGAGACUAAGUGCAUGCUUAAUACCUAGGGUGUUACACCGACUCCGCCAUCCAAUGAAUCCCAGGACAACUAGAAAAACGGAGAGUCCAGUUCGGAGGACUUAAAAACACUGAACGCCUUGCCAAGAGGUAAACUUGGUAGUUAUCCUUUUCCCUUUCAAUUAUUUCAAAUAGUUUACUUAGUUAGUCAUGUUCAUACUAUCCUAAAAAGAAAAUAAAAAUGAUAAAAAAAUAAGCCCUAUGUGAGUAUACGAGUGGCAUAAAACCCAUAAAUACAUUCACUGUGGUGACAUAAAAAUAAAAUAAAUAUUUCUUUUCCUGCUUUAGAAAAUGGAAAUAUAAAAAUAGGGAGUAAUAGUUAUUGAGGAGACUCAACAUGAUAAAGGCUAGAUAUUUAUGCUAACACUUAAUCAGUUCCACAAAGCUUUGUGGUCUAUUUGAGCUCCACAGAAUUUAAGAAUCAAGAAGACUAGGAGACGAAGGACAUUCUAAUCGCUGUUAGGGUGCUGCCGACUUUCAAAUACACCUUUGCCACCUGCUAGCUACAUCAGAAGAAAUUACGUCAAAAUUCAGCUUGGGGGAGAGCACCCCCAUUUAUCCCGCUAAGUAUUUCUAUCUAUCUUUAUACUUAUAGUAUUUUAAAAUAUAAAUAUACAUAACUAUGAAAAACCAAAUAAAGAUUUUGUGCUUAGAUAUAUAUAUCUUUUGCUAGUUUGAUUAAUAAAUAAAUAAAGUGGCUAUGCUAAACUGAAUCUUAAUAAUAAAACUCUAGCAUGGAUAUAAUGAAUAGUUGCUCUGCCUAAUUUUUAAAUUUUGAAGUUCUCUCAAGUUUAGACAUAACUGUUAUAAUUCAAAGCUUACUCUAAACCUAAACUUGUCGGAAGAAAACUUGAUCUGAAGUCUAAGUUGUUAACGGAUACGAUAUGGGAAGGUUGAGCUGCUGUUUAUCUGUUCCUAGAGAUGCUAGAAUUCUAGAGAAUUUUAUCUUUGAAAAUCUUUAAAAUAAUACAUGAUGAGUUCCUGUAUGAUGAGAGUUUAAAUUCCUACCACAGCCAUAUAUACAUGCUUGCUAGAUUUUGAGCCACAUAUUUACUUUUUACUGCUUAUGAGCAUUGAGUGUGGUCAAGCUGUGUAGACCCUUAGGAGCUUGUAAUGUGGUUAAAUCAAGAUUCAAUUGCGCGUUCACUUACAUAUGCUGCUUCUACUCUCGAAGUACCAUCCACAUAUAUCCACUCAUUUCCAUCUCUAGAACCACCCAAAAAUAUUCUACUCCUAAUCCGGGAGAGAAUAGCCAAAAAAUAUUUCUAUUUUUUCCCUGUGAAAUAAAUGCUCAAGUUAUAUUGUUACAAGCACUUGCUAUAUUAUCUCAAGAGAUGAGUGCUCUAAAAAUAAAAAAUAAAAAAAAGAAAAAAAUACGAGGAAAUAAAAAGGGGCAAGUGUCCGAAACCUCGAAAGAAAAGAAAAAGUGAGACGAGAGGUAAAAAUGGACAAGUGUCCGACAGUAGAAUUAGGGGUACAAGAUACCCACCUGAGAGGAAAGAAAAAGAAAAGAGAGAGCAUCUCAUUCUCCUCACAAAGUUUUAAAAAGCAAGAAAGGUAUGUAUCCCCUCAAAAGAGCAAAAGUAGACUUUCGCCAUUGUUAUCAUCAUCAUCACCAUACACCAUUCAUUCGCCACACAUGCACAUCUUGAUUUGACUUAUUGAUUUGUUUCUUUGGAUCCAUGGUUUGACUAUACAAUAAAUGUCUUGUGAGUAUGUAUACUUUAUCUCCCACCUAUGAGCUCUAGAUAUUAAAGCCUUAUUAGAGUAGGGUCCGAGAAUAGGCAAUGUCACUAUGCCUUAUACCACAAAUACCACAUAUUUUGAGAGAGAAGGCAUAUACCAUCACUGCCUUGGUAAGGAUCCAAAAAUACCACAAAAGAGAGAUUUGAGAGAGUCAAACAAGGAAUCUCUGAGUUUUAUUUGAAAAUCUGCAAAAACUCCAGAGCUAUAGCUGAUCAAGAAUAAGAGACAUGGCACUUGACUAGACCGUCUAUCUUUUAACUACUCAAGACAGAAGAGACGAUUACAAGUCCCAUGGUGAAAGGUAAAAUGAAUAAGUUUUUAAGUCUUGACAAUUUACUCUAACUCAGAGAUGAGACCUUAUUUAAAAGCAUGUGUACCGUCAAUUUUUAAAAGCAUUACAACAACUUCUGAUCCAUCACUGAGUCUAUCCUUGCUCAGGGACGAGCAAGAGGUAAGCUUGGGGAAGUUUGUUGACGGUCCUUAAGUAUCAAAUUUAAUUAUCAAAUAAACAAAGAAAAGGAUCCAAAUGAAAUCAACAUCCAGACUUAGGGUUUUAUCUGACAGAAUUCCACAUGCCGAGUGACCUUCCCAUUUAUUAAUCAAACUAGCAAAAGAUAUAUAUAAGCACAAAAUCUUUAUUUGGUUUUUCAUGGUUAUGUAUAUUUAUAUUUUAAUAUAGUAUAAGUAUAAAGAUAGAUAGAAUACUUAGCAGAUAAAUGGGGGUGCUCUCCCCAAGCUGAAUUUUGACGUAAUUUCUUCUGAUGUAGCUAAUAGGUGGCACAAGUGUAUUUGAAAGUCGGCAGAUCCCUGACAGCGAUUAGAAUGUCCUCCGUCUACUAGUCUUCUUGAUUCUUGAAUUCUGUGGAGCUCAAAUAGACAACAAAUCUUCGUGGAACUGAUUAGGUGUUAGCAUAAAUAUCUAGCCUUUAUCAUGUUGAGCCUCCUCAAUAAAUAUUACUCUCUAUUUUUAUAUUUUCAUUUUAUAAAGGAGAGAAAAUAUUUAUUUUAUAUUUAUGCCACCACAGUGAAUGUACUUAUGGGUUUUAUGCCACUCGUAUACUCACAUGGGGCUUACUAUUUUUAACAUUUUUAUUUUCUUUUUAGGAUAGUAUGAACAUGAUUAACUACACAAACUAUUUUAAAUAAUUGAAAGGAAAAGGAUAACUACCAAGUUUACCUCUUGGCAAGGCGUUCGGUGUUUUUAAGUCCUUCGAACGGGACUCUCCAUUUUCUCAGUCGUCCUAGGAUUCGUUGGGUGGCGUAGUCGGUGCUUCCAGCGGCGCCUCUUCUUUGUGUAUAGUUAUCUUCUCUCUCCACACCUGACUCGGUGCUAUGGUCUCCUCAGGAUAAUUCUGUUCAAGCUAUAUGUCUUCAGACCUUACUACUUCUCCUUCGUAGUCUGCCCAUCCGUCCUUGAUGAUUUGCCU
This 3658-nucleotide long non-coding RNA is filed under the name Sorghum bicolor (sorghum). RNAcentral describes it as "long non-coding RNA (SBIC_LNC012805)". The record is from RNAcentral. Lineage: Eukaryota; Viridiplantae; Streptophyta; Magnoliopsida; Poales; Poaceae.